RNAcentral lists this unclassified non-coding RNA (231 nucleotides) under fungal sp. RNAcentral's name for it is "partial internal transcribed spacer region". The stretch from base 1 to 47 matches the Rfam family "Eukaryotic small subunit ribosomal RNA", at positions 1785 to 1831 of the family's 1831-position model. The record is from RNAcentral. Lineage: Eukaryota; Fungi.
AAAGUCGUAACAAGGUCUCCGUUGGUGAACCAGCGGAGGGAUCAUUACCGAGUUUACAACUCCCAAACCCCUGUGAACAUACCUACGUUGCUUCGGCGGACCACCCCAACCCCCUCGGGGCGAGGGGCCGCCAGAGGACCCAAAACCCAACUGUUUUUUCCGUAACGAAACCUAUUCUGAGUGGAAUUAUUAAAUAAAUCAAAACUUUCAACAACGGAUCUCUUGGCUCUC